RNAcentral lists this ribosomal RNA (253 nucleotides) under uncultured bacterium. RNAcentral's name for it is "partial 16S ribosomal RNA". It matches the Rfam family "Bacterial small subunit ribosomal RNA", at positions 524 to 776 of the family's 1533-position model. The record is from RNAcentral.
UACGUAGGGGGCGAGCGUUGUCCGGAUUUAUUGGGCGUAAAGAGCGUGUAGGCGGCCAUGUAGGUCCGUUGUGAAAACUCGAGGCUCAACCUCGAGACGCCGAUGGAAACCAUGUGGCUAGAGUCCGGAAGAGGAGAGUGGAAUUCCUGGUGUAGCGGUGAAAUGCGCAGAUAUCAGGAGGAACACCCGUGGCGAAAGCGGCUCUCUGGGACGGUACUGACGCUGAGACACGAAAGCGUGGGGAGCAAACAGG